RNAcentral lists this ribosomal RNA (307 nucleotides) under uncultured beta proteobacterium E14_pH4/50/UL. RNAcentral describes it as "bacterial SSU rRNA". It matches the Rfam family "Bacterial small subunit ribosomal RNA", at positions 202 to 490 of the family's 1533-position model. The record is from RNAcentral. Lineage: Bacteria; Pseudomonadati; Pseudomonadota; Betaproteobacteria.
AAAAGCAGGGGAUCGCAAGACCUUGCGCUUUUGGAGCGGCCGAUGUCUGAUUAGCUAGUUGGUGAGGUAAAGGCUUACCAAGGCUUCGAUGAGUAGCUGGUCUGAGAGGACGACCAGCCACACUGGGACUGAGACACGGCCCAGACUCCUACGGGAGGCAGCAGUGGGGAAUUUUGGACAAUGGGGGCAACCCUGAUCCAGCCAUGCCGCGUGAGUGAAGAAGGCCUUCGGGUUGUAAAGCUCUUUCAGCCGGAACGAAACGGUCACGGUUAAUAACUGUGAUCACUGACGGUACCGGAAGAAGAAG